UACAUGUGACAUGCACUGCAAGAUGUUAUCAUGUCUUCAAUUUGUUUUCGCAUCCCUGGCCAGAAAAAUGACAAGUUAGCUAUAUCCAAACAUUUUUUAUAACCUAAAUGGCUAUGAUGGAGUUUUUGCGUAGGACUUGAGCAACAAUUUAUGGCCCUUAAAAAUAAGUUGAUUGAUACAAGAAAUUUCUUCUUUAAAUCUGUAAUAGAACUAGACACUUUCUGGACAGCUUCUGAUGCUUAUGGGCCACCCUUUCUCCAAAAGGCUUUUUAUUAAACAACUUUCGAAUUUGCUGUUUUUUCUUAUCAGUAAUAUUAAGGGAAAGCUCAACAGUACAAAUUUGUGACUCAAUAUCAAAAUCAACAUUUUCAUUAAAGUUUAUUUUUCUAGCGAAAAAGGGAAUGACAAAUUGAUAAUUUGAUCAUUUGUAAAAAUUUCUUUUGUAGUUGUUUUUGUUCCUCAAAUAAACCUAAGCCAUCAGCACCAAUUCUUGGGGGUAGUUGUUCAUUUAAGUCUAAACAGAGCUUCUCGAGAGUAAAUGUUCUAUUUUAUUAAUAGUUUUUGUUUGCAGAUCCACUAUUUCGGUCAACAUAUUUGGCUCCACUUUUGCACACAGUCAGAGUUUAAACCAAGUUUUAAAACAAUCUUGCACCAAUUCAAGAAAUAUUUCUGCGUUGUGUCCUGAAUGUUUUGCAAAAGUGUCAGUGCCCACGGAUGGUCCUGAAGCCUAAAAAAACUGGUAAAACAUUCUUUUUCACUCACGUUGGCUUUAACAUGGAAAUGAUGCACCGUCUAAACGAAAAAACUACCAAUGGAUAGAAAUAACCGUCAGGUUAAAUUAUUCAUUUUUAAAUAUUUAAAAUUCAAAAACAAGAAACCACUGAAUAGAGUUAUCGAAUUCAAUUCAAUGAUGCGUUUCACAAAAAACUGUUGGGCACAAUAGAGUUAUCCCAUAGACUCUCUUCUUCUUGAUAGAAAGCAACAAGUAAGGGGCAACCGUCCACCUACUAGUUACAUUUGCCGAUUUGUACUCCAACAUAACUAUGGAUGUUGGCGUUAAUUAAGAAUAGUGAUAAAAAUUAAGAAAAAAAAAACUACAAAGUAUGAAUUUUAACAAUUAGUUUAUGAUUUUUUUUGUUUGUAAUUUUUAUGUGUGUCCAUGGGAAUGAUCAUUGUUUAUUUAAAUAACGAACGAAAGCAAAUGUAAUUCUUCUUUUUUUAACCGUCGCUCGCUCCUACCAGAAUCCGUUGUAUUCGUCCCAAAAACCUUGAUAUCGAUCUUUUUUCGUGUGGUUCUGUUUCGUAAGUGUUUGGUGAUCGUUUUUAAGUGUUUAAGUUCUACCGAGCCCGCUGUUUUGACCGUUCACGCCGGUAUGGUGGUCGGAUGGGCCCAGAUAGUCCGGAGUGGUAGCGGGGCAAUGCCGGUUUUUUCGAUAUCAUUCAAAAUCGUUUUUUGCUAGCUGAGCAAAUAUUGGUUAUAUUUGUUUUUUGUACGUGUCAUUGACCAAAAGCGAAAAUCCUCGACGGAAGUCGGCAAUGGGCAAAUGAUCCUGGCAGUUGAGUUAUCAGGUAUCCUAUUAUCAUUAUUUUACUUGUACUUGUAAUCUUUUUUUUUGGAUUCUGUGGUGGGAGCAUUGCACACGGCGGUUUAACCUCCGUUCGCUCCCAACAGAAUCCCUUGUAUUCGUCCCAACAAGUUUGAUAUCGGUUUCCACGGUGUGGAUUUAGUGUUUUGAGUGUUCAGUGUACGUUUUAAAGUGAUAAUUGUCGUCGGCCCCGUCGUUUUUCCCUGUUCACGCCGGUAUGGAGGCCGGAUGGGCCCGGAUGGUCCGCGGUGGAAGCGGGGGGAAGCCGAUUUUUUUGGUAUCGGUCAGAAUCGUUUUUUGCUAGCUGAGCAAAUUAUUGGCUAUUUUUCUUCUUUGUACGUGGUGGUCAUUGACCAGAAGCGAAAAUCCUCGACGGAAGUCGGCAAUGGGCGAAUGAUCCUAGCAGUCGAGCCCAACAUUUUUUUGUGAAACGCAUAAUUGAAUUGAAUGAAUUGAAUCUUUUUUUUUUUUGGAUUCUGUGGUGGAACAUUGCACGCUGCGGUUUAACCUCCGUUCGUUCCCUACAUAAUCCUUUGUAAUCGUCCAAAAAUUUUGAAAUCGGUCUCCACUGAGUGGAUUUAGUGUUUUCAGUGUUUUGUGAACGUUGUAAAGUGAUAAUCGUCGCCGAUCCCUUCGUUAUUCCCCGUUCACGCCGGUAUGGAGGCCGGAUGGGCCCGGAUGGUCCGUGGCGGAAGCGGGGGGUGUCGGUUUUUUUUUUGGUAUCGGUCAAAAUUGUUUUUUGCUAGUUGAGCAAAUAUAUGUCUUCUUUGUACGUGUUGGUCCAUGACCACAAGCGAAGAUCCUCGACGGAAGUCGGCAAUGGGCGAAUGAUCCUAGCAGUCGAGCCCAACAGUUUUCUGUGAAACGCAUCAUUGAACUUGAACUUUGAAUCUUUUUUUUUUUUUUGAUUCUGUGGUGGAGCAUUACACGCGGCGGUUUAACCUCCGUUCACUCCCGACAGAAUCCUAUGUAUUCGUCCCAAAAAGUUUGAUAUCGGUUUCCACGGUGUGGAUUUAGUGUUCUGAGUGUUCAGUGUACGUCUUAAAGUGAUAAUCGUCGUCGGCCCCGUCGUUUUUCUCCGUUCACGCCGGUAUGGAGGCCGGAUGGUCCGUGGUGGAAGCGGGGGGAAGCCGAUUUUUUUUGGUAUCGGUCAGAAUCGUUUUUUGCUAGCUGAGCAAAUUAUUGGUUAUUUUUCUUCUUUGUACGUGGUGGUCAAUUGACCAGAAGCAAAAAUCCUCGACGGAAGUCGGCAAUGGGCAAAUGAUCCUAGCAGUCGUGCCCAACAUUUUUUGUUAAACGCAUAAUUGACUUGACUUGACUUAAUCUUUUUUUUUGGUGGUGGAGCAUUGCACGCGGCGGUCUAACCUCCGUCCGCUCCUAGCAGAAUCCGCUGAAUUCGUUCGAAAAACCUUUGGUAUCGGUCUUCAAUUUGUGUGACUCUGUUUCGGCAGUGUUUGGUGUUUGUUUUAAGUGUAAAAGUUCCGCCGGCCCCGUUGUUUUAACCGUUCACGCCGGUAUGGAGACCGGAUGGGCCCGGAUGGUCCGGGGUGGAAGCGGGGGGGUGUCGGUUUUUUUGGUAUCGGUCAAAAUUGUUUUUUGCUAGUUGAGCAAAUAUUGGUUAUGUCUUCUUUGUACGUGUUGGUCCAUGACCAAAAGCGAAGAUCCUCGACGGAAGUCGGCAAUGGGCGAAUGAUCCUAGCAGUCGAGCCCAACAUUUUUUUGUGAAACGCAUAAUUGAACUUGAAUUUUAAUCUUUUUUUUCUAAUUUAAAAUAUAUUUAGGUUAUAUUUGAAUAAUGUAGGUAAGAUAAGAUUUAUACUUUGAAGUUUUUAUUUUAAAGGCAGUGUCAAUAUUAAUGUUAGAUAAUUAACACGAAUGGAUUUUAAAAGUUAGGGUAAUCACAUGUUUACAAAUAAUGUAAAAGUUGAAAGAUUAUGUUAGUUAAAAUCCGUGUUUUGUUUUUUGCAAGAGCAAAAGAAUUAGCAGGUACAAAUUUGAGCUAUUUUGAAAUUCAGUCUCCCAUUUCCUAUUUGGAACUAGUGCAAACGUUAGUAAAUGAGUUUUCACUACAAGAAAUAGGAAAUAAUAUAUUGUUGGCUGUUAAUCAAGAACUGCAUAAUUUAAAUGAUAUAUUGAAUUUAAAAGACAGUGAUGAAAUUGCAAUAAUUCCGCCCAUAAGUGGAGGGUAAAAAUGGAUUUUAUUAAAUUUCCUCGUGAAAAGCUUGUAAUAGAUGAAGUAACAAAUUUAGUAGUUGCACCAUCUUGUGGAGCAAUUUCGGUAUUUAUGGGAACAACGCGAGACAACUUUGAAGGGAAAUGUGUAGUUAACCUAGAAUAUGAAGCUUAUGAAUCUAUGGCUCAGAAAGCAGUGGAAAAGAUAUGUGUGGAAUUAAGAACACAUUGGCCAAAUGUUGAAAAUAUAGCAAUAUACCAUAGGUGUGGUGCCUAUCAAAGAAGCUAGUGUAAUAAUUGCUGUAUCAUCUCCUCAUCGGAAAGAUUCCAUAGAAGCAACAGAAUGGUGCAUCAAUAAUAUCAAAAAGUCAGUUCCAAUUUGGAAAAAGGAAGUGUACUCCA
Cylas formicarius (sweet potato weevil) is the source of this 4160-nucleotide RNA transcript. It is a transcript of the gene named molybdopterin synthase catalytic subunit, with no coding region annotated. The transcript has 2 exons. The record is from RefSeq and is a predicted model, not a curated record. NCBI's taxonomy places the organism in Eukaryota, Metazoa, Arthropoda, Insecta, Coleoptera, Brentidae.